RNAcentral lists this ribosomal RNA (405 nucleotides) under uncultured bacterium. RNAcentral's name for it is "partial 16S ribosomal RNA". It matches the Rfam family "Bacterial small subunit ribosomal RNA", at positions 30 to 526 of the family's 1533-position model. The record is from RNAcentral.
AUUGAACGCUAGCGGGAUGCUUUACACAUGCAAGUCGAACGAGUGGCGGACGGGUGAGUAAUACAUCGGAACCCUCCCAGUAGCGGGGGUUAGCUACUCGAAAGAGUGGCUAAUACCGCAUACCAUGGGCGCGCCUGCUAUGGGAUUAGCUAGUUGGUGGGGUAAUGGCUCACCAAGGCAACGAUCCGUAGCUGGGUUGAGAGGACGACCAGCCACACUGGGACUGAGACACGGCCCAGACGCUUACGGUAGGCAGCAGUGGGGAAUUUUGGACAAUGGGCGAAACCCUGAUCCAGCCAUCCCGCGUGUAUGAGAAGGCCUUCGGGUUGUAAAGUACUUUUGGCAGAGAAGCGGUAUCUGCAGAAUAAGCACCGGCUAACUACGUGCCAGCAGCCGCGGUAAUAC